UAACCAUCUCCAUGGCGACAGAAUUCUAGCUUCACAUUAGAGAUUCAUUACAGUAAAACCCCUAUCACCGCUCAGGUAUAGCCUCCAUGCUAGUGUCGUUCAUGAUCGGACUCUACUACAACACCUUGAUCGCCUGGAUCAUGUGGUAUUUCUUCAACUCCUUCCAGAGCCCUCUGCCUUGGGCACAGUGUCCUCUGAACGACAACGGGACAGAAUACGUAUCGGAGUGUCAACGGAGUUCAACUGUGGAUUACUAUUAUUACCGAGUGACCCUGAACACCACGGCCUCUAUAGCAGACUCUGGAGGAAUCCACUGGCCCAUGGUGGUCUGCCUGUUAGCUGCCUGGGCCGUCAUCUGCCUCUGUUACAUUCGAGGGAUUGGAACGUCAGGCAAGGUUUGUGAAGCGGCUAACAUUCGAAAUGAUCACUGUUUUGGUCCGCUUGCGAUUUCCCUAACGUGAUUCCUUUAACACGAUCUAAAUCUCAGGCAGUGUAUGUUACGUCCAUCCUGCCGUACAUAGUGCUGGCUAUCUUCCUGGUCAGAGGACUGACCCUGAAAGGAGCCCUGAAUGGAGUGGAGUUUCUCUUCACACCAGAUGUGAACGAGUUGAUGAAAGCAACAACUUGGUUGGAUGCGGGUGCGCAGGUCUUUUAUGCGUUCAGUAUAGCGUGGGGAGGCCUCAUCUCUUUCUCCAGCUACAACCCCAUUCAGUAAGAAAUGCAAAGAAUUACUUUUACAUUUUAUGGCAGAUGAAAAUAUAUCCUGAUUGUUUCACAUUUAACUUUUUAUUUUUUCAAGCAACAACUGCAUGAAAGACGCCGUGGUGUUGACUGCAAUUACAGGCCUGACGGCUAUCUAUGUUGCCACGGUCACCUACACCAUCAUUGGUUUCAGGGCUACUGAGAAAUAUGAUAGCUGUAUUAGUGAGUGAGUACCUUGUAUCAGUGAGUCAUGACAAAAUUCUUUUUUUAAAUACACUCAAAUAUCAACCACAGAGUUGCCGAAGUUUAAAAACCUUUUUUGUUUAGGGCCUGAGCACUGACAGAACGUUACAGUUAGGGAUGUCCAAUAAUAUCGCCCGAUAUUAGCAUAUUAUGUAAUGUUAUCGCUUUUUCUUCCGAUAAUGAAAACCGAUAAUGUGUGCCCUAAAAAUAGCUUUGGGGAUAAAUGGCUGUAUAUUAAGGUGAAGGCCACUAGAUGACAGCAUUGUAUCUGUGUUCAUGUAUCUCAUAGUUUCACUUCAUAAACAGUUCAUCCAAUCAUCAUGCAGAAGCCCACUUUUUAUCGUGAUUUUUUUCAGUCAGUCAGGAUCCGCAGUUCUAAAAAAGGCUACGAUAGUUUUCUGGAGACUUCUUCACAUGUUCUGAAAGUGCUCAGGUCCAUCCGGUGCGACAAAAACAGAAUCAUACCACACAGCAUUUUCUUUACAGCGAAUGAAUGUGAAGCAAUUAACUUGUGACUGGCACUGAAUUACAGGAUCAAUCAAUACUCGACACCUGCAAACUAAAAAAACAAAAAUCUUUAUAAAGGAGUGACCCUAAAGUCCAGUGGGCAGCUCUCAGGUUAUAGGGUAAGGAGAUUAAGAAUUUGUUUGAAGCAUUACUGUAUCUAUAUGAUCAUGUAUGAUUAGUGAUUCCCGUGUGUGUGUGUGUAUGCUUUUGUUUUAGAAAUCAGCUGUUGUUUAUCACUGAGGGAAAUAUUAUGGCGUCAGGUAACUGUGAUAGAGCCAAAUGACUCAGUCAUUACUCUAAUGCCAGGUGGCUGACCAGCUGUGCACUUUCGUUUUAGGAACAUCAGGCUAUUAUUAAACGCGUUUGACCUGAGCGAAGAUAACAUCACUACCAGCAACUAUGAGUCAGAGCUGAUCCGCCUCAACACCUCCCAUUCCGAUGAAGUUCUGAGACUGAACAUCCAAACAUGUGACCUGCAGAAAUUUCUCAGUGAGGUACAGACGUCGCAGAAAAUCAAUCGAAAUCUUCUUAGGGUGUUAUGUUUGCUAAACUAAUGUGGGCUUUUAUUUUCAGGGGGUGGAAGGAACAGGUUUGGCCUUUGUUGUAUUUACAGAGGCCAUCACUAAAAUGCCAGGUUCCCCCAUUUGGUCCGUUCUCUUUUUCCUCAUGCUUCUGUGCUUGGGCAUCUCAACCCUGUUUGGCAACAUUGAAGGAGUGGUAGUCCCCUUAAAAGACCUCAACAUUGUUCCUCAAAGUUGGCCACAAGAAGCUAUCACCGGUAUUCCCUGUCAUUUGGUUACGGUUGAUUAAAAAAGUCGGACGCCGUUUCUCUGCUAACGCAUUGUGUUUUACAGGAGCCACUUGCUUCGUGUCCUUCGUCGUCUCUCUGCUGUUUGCGCAGCAGUCAGGGUUUUACUGGGUGACUCUUUUCGACAACUUUGCUGGAUCUGUUCCUCUUCUGACCAUUGGGUUUAUUGAACUAAUAGCAGUUGUGCACAU
Long non-coding RNA from Cynoglossus semilaevis (tongue sole), 2451 nucleotides. RefSeq lists it as uncharacterized. The transcript is spliced from 3 exons. Lineage: Eukaryota; Metazoa; Chordata; Actinopteri; Pleuronectiformes; Cynoglossidae. The record is from RefSeq and is a predicted model, not a curated record.